UUCAUAACCCUUUGUUGUCCGACUCUGUUGCCUCCGGGGCGACCCUGCCUUCGGGCGGGGGCUCCGGGUGGACACUUCAAACUCUUGCGUAACUUUGCAGUCUGAGUAAACUUAAUUAAUAAAUUAAAACUUUUAACAACGGAUCUCUUGGUUCUGGCAUCGAUGAAGAACGCAGCGAAAUGCGAUAAGUAAUGUGAAUUGCAGAAUUCAGUGAAUCAUCGAAUCUUUGAACGCACAUUGCGCCCCCUGGUAUUCCGGGGGGCAUGCCUGUUCGAGCGUCAUUUCACCACUCAAGCCUCGCUUGGUAUUGGGCAACGCGGUCCGCCGCGUGCCUCAAAUCGUCCGGCUGGGUCUUCUGUCCCCUAAGCGUUGUGGAAACUAUUCGCUAAAGGGUGUUCGGGAGGCUACGCCGUAAAACAACCCCAUUUCUAAGGUUGACCUCGGAUCAGGUAGG
RNAcentral lists this ribosomal RNA (454 nucleotides) under Davidiella sp. IP-2014. Its description in RNAcentral is "eukaryotic LSU rRNA". The stretch from base 128 to 281 matches the Rfam family "5.8S ribosomal RNA". Lineage: Eukaryota; Fungi; Ascomycota; Dothideomycetes; Cladosporiales; Cladosporiaceae. The record is from RNAcentral.